AUCACUUCGCUGCUGGAAUUAUAAGUCCAGAGGAAUCAAACGCCAGAGAAAUCACCAUUUCUCUGGAGUCAGAGAAAUCAUCAUUUCUCUGGAGUCAGCGAAAUCAAGAAGCCAGUGUAGCCAAGUAAUCACCAGAGGAGUCAAGAGUCAGAGCAGAGGGGAUAGAAGUCCAUUACAGCGGAAUCGAAUAGCCAGAGAAAUCACCAUUCCUCUGGCGAAAGCCAGAGCGGAAGCCAUUCCGCUGGCGAGAGCCGCGAUUUCCGCUAGGGUGGAGAUGACUUGUAGAGCGCGUCACAGCUGGACUUACCUUCCUUUGCACGAUUCUAUUCCUUUUAGAGUCCGGUUUUGCAUGGCAACUUUUAUGGUGAUCCAGAAGGAUUUGAAGUCUAUAAAUAGGGCCAUACUUUUCAUUGUAAAAAAAUCAAUCCCUUGCCCUAAUCUUUAGUUUCCGCUAGGCAGCCAAAGCUUAGGUUUAUUGCUUUCAUAGUUCUAGUUUCGAUUCAUGUUCUAGUUAGUUUAGUUUAUAGUUCUUUUAAUUCAUGUUUUAGAGUAGUUCCCGUUUAGAGUUGUAUUUACGUGACAGAUUACUUCUCGAGACGGUUUUACGGUAUUUCUUUA
RNAcentral lists this long non-coding RNA (618 nucleotides) under Salvia miltiorrhiza (redroot sage). RNAcentral's name for it is "long non-coding RNA (SMIL_LNC014075)". Lineage: Eukaryota; Viridiplantae; Streptophyta; Magnoliopsida; Lamiales; Lamiaceae. The record is from RNAcentral.